GAUCCGUUGACGUCGGCGUCGCGACGAUAAAAUUUGACGCGCCCACGCUGUGAUUGACCGGUUUCUCUUCGGGCCGAGAUGCGAUUAGGCCAAAGACGGUUUGCGCGGCCACGCGAACGGCUGCUUUCAGAGACGAGCCUCUUUUUUAUUCCUUCAACACAUCAGCAUUAUUUACCGUAUGUGUAUAAUAAGAAGACGUUUUCCGUUGCUGGCAUUGUAUUACACGAUUUGCACGUAAGUGAAACGUGCAUUUUUUUGCUGCUGGCUGGACAAACUCGACUUGCCGCGUCUGCAGAGCGUUGAACUUUUUUUUUCUUUUUUUUUUUCCUAUCGCAACGAGGCUUUUUAUUCAUCGAGUCUCGUGAUUCAUCGGAUGCAAAUUAUGCAAUUUAAUUGCUAGUCAGAAAUGGUACGAAUACACAGUGUAUAUGCUAUUUAUAUAGAGAAAUAGAGAAAGUAGAA
Neodiprion fabricii is the source of this 462-nucleotide long non-coding RNA. RefSeq lists it as uncharacterized. The transcript has 2 exons. The record is from RefSeq and is a predicted model, not a curated record. NCBI's taxonomy places the organism in Eukaryota, Metazoa, Arthropoda, Insecta, Hymenoptera, Diprionidae.